UACGGGAGGCAGCAGUGGGGAAUAUUGCACAAUGGGCGAAAGCCUGAUGCAGCUAUGCCGCGUGUAUGAAGAAGGCCUUAGGGUUGUAAAGUACUUUCAUCGGGGAGGAAAAACAAAACUAAUAAUUUUAUUUCUUGACGUUACCCGAAAAAGAAGCACCGGCUAACUCCGUGCCAGCAGCCGCGGUAAUACGGAGGGUGCUAGCGUUAAUCAGAAUUACUGGGCGUAAAGAGCACGUAGGUGGUUUUUUUAAGUCAGAUGUGAAAUCCCUGGGCUUAACCUGGAACUGCAUUUUGAAACUGAAAUACUAGAGUAUCGUAGAGGGAGGUAGAAUUCUAGGUGUAGCGGUGAAAUGCGUAGAUAUCUGGAGGAAUACCUGUGGCGAAAGCGGCCUCCUAAACGAAUACUGACACUGAGGUGCGAAAGCGUGGGGAGCAAA
This 439-nucleotide ribosomal RNA is filed under the name uncultured bacterium. Its description in RNAcentral is "bacterial SSU rRNA". It matches the Rfam family "Bacterial small subunit ribosomal RNA", at positions 340 to 772 of the family's 1533-position model. The record is from RNAcentral.